Long non-coding RNA from Oreochromis niloticus (Nile tilapia), 720 nucleotides. RefSeq lists it as uncharacterized. NCBI's taxonomy places the organism in Eukaryota, Metazoa, Chordata, Actinopteri, Cichliformes, Cichlidae. The transcript has 3 exons. The record is from RefSeq and is a predicted model, not a curated record.
UUUUAAAAGCAACAAGUUUAAUGUCAGUUGCUUUAUAAAACCUUAUAAAUUGUUACAUUUAUCAAGUUUUAUAUAUGAUGCAAUAUUAAAAUUACUCGUUUUCUGGCCAAAACACAUCUAAAACAUUUAUAUUAAAAUAAUAUUUAAAAAACAUACUGAUUUACAUUCAUCUUUAAAGUUAACUUCCUAUUCAGUACUCAAAGUUCAGUGGCCGAUUGUGCCUUUAAUCAGUCAAUCACGCCCAGACCACGCCCACUGUAGUCCAGAAUUACGUCACCCCUUCUAGAGAUGAGGAGAGUAAUCCUAGAUGGUUCUCGGUCCAGUAAGUGAUGCUCUGGGCCUCCAUCCCCUCCUCCCCGCUCCUUCUCCUCCUCCACCUUGACUGCUUCAAAAGAGCCUCGUCCACGUCUUUGUUUCACCGAGCGCGCGUGUUCGCCUUUCUGUGCAGGAAUGCGCGUUCAUAAAAGACUGAAGGAAAAAUAUCACUGAAGCAUUACAGCAUUACAGUGAAAUCACAACAUUAUCAGGACAGUUUUAGGCAGCAGCCUGAUGAGCGAAUGGAUGAUAUGACGGUGGACAGGAGUCAAAAGGAUAAAUAACAGAGAUGUGACCAUACCUCGCUGAGGCCCAGGUCAUCCAGGAGCUGUCGGUCCCUCUCAUCAUCUCCUCCAGUGUGGACAAAGAGCCGGUCCAAAGGAGCAUCUGCCAGCAGCACCACCC